ACAGAGGAGCCCUUCUCAAUCUGAGGCAAGAGCAGCUUCAACCAUGCACUCCCUCCUCAACUGACCCUGGCACGCAUCCUAAGAGGAUCCUACAGAGGAGAACGUGGUGAGAGAUGAGAGUGACACUGUCCCUCAGGAAGCAAAACAUCAACCUACAGAGACUCUGACUCACGACCAGACUUAUGAAUCAGAGAGUGAACAGACAGCUGAGGAGAAGAUGGAGUGGACUGGCCAUGACAGAGCUGAAGUAGUGUGCAUUGAGGUGGAGAACCUGCAGCUACCGCCAGACUCAUGGGGAGAGACUCCAUCAAGCUGCAGGAAAUCCUUAAUAUCAAACAUGCAGGAAGAACGAUGGAGAAUCUGGUGGAGAAAUCUCUUUCCCCGUUUCCCUCCUAAUGAAGAUCAGAGAGAUCUGCACUAGUGCAUUGCACUAUCUGCACUAAUUAUUAAAAUAAUGCUUACAUGUAUUGUUCCAGCUCUGAAAUUUAGACAUCAUAAGCCAUUAUAAAGCACUCAAUAUACUGAAUGCGAAU
This is a long non-coding RNA of Pygocentrus nattereri (red-bellied piranha), 533 nucleotides long. RefSeq lists it as uncharacterized. The record is from RefSeq and is a predicted model, not a curated record. The transcript is spliced from 3 exons. Lineage: Eukaryota; Metazoa; Chordata; Actinopteri; Characiformes; Serrasalmidae.